UUCAUAAUUCAGUGGCAGUAUCAUAGCCAAUGAGGUUUAUCCGAGGCGCGAUUAUUGCUAAUUGAAAACUUUUCCCAUAAUUCCAAAACUCUGAAGCAACCAAGAUGUCCUUUGGUAGGGGAAUGGAUAAAUAAACUGGUU
Small nuclear RNA from Neogale vison (American mink), 141 nucleotides. RefSeq annotates it as U4 spliceosomal RNA. The record is from RefSeq and is a predicted model, not a curated record. The transcript has a single exon. Lineage: Eukaryota; Metazoa; Chordata; Mammalia; Carnivora; Mustelidae.